This 460-nucleotide ribosomal RNA is filed under the name uncultured bacterium. RNAcentral's name for it is "partial 16S ribosomal RNA". It matches the Rfam family "Bacterial small subunit ribosomal RNA", at positions 338 to 795 of the family's 1533-position model. The record is from RNAcentral.
CCUACGGGUGGCAGCAGUGAGGAAUAUUGGGCAAUGGACGAGAGUCUGAACCAGCCAAGUAGCGUGAAGGAUGACGGCCCUAUGGGUGGUAAACUUCGUUUAUAGGGGAAUAAAAUGUUGCACGUGUGGGGUUUUGUAUGUACCAUAUGAAUAAGGAUCGGCUAACUCCGUGCCAGCAGCCGCGGUAAGACGGAGGGUCCGGGCGUUAUGCGGAUUGAAUGGGUUUAAAGGGCGCGUAGGUGGAUUGUUAAGUCAGUUGUGAAAGUUUGCGGCUCACCCGUACAAUUGCAGUUGAAACUGCCAGUCUUGAGUACAGUAGAGGUGGGCGGAAUUCGUGGUGUAGCGGUGAAAUCCUUAGAUAUCACGAAGAACUUCGAUUGCGAAGGCAGCCCCCUGGACUGCAACUGACACUGAGGCUCGAAAGUGUGGGUAUCAAACAGGAUUAGAUACCCCAGUAGUC